This 450-nucleotide ribosomal RNA is filed under the name uncultured bacterium. RNAcentral describes it as "partial 16S ribosomal RNA". It matches the Rfam family "Bacterial small subunit ribosomal RNA", at positions 354 to 796 of the family's 1533-position model. The record is from RNAcentral.
GCUAAGAAUAUUCCGCAAUGGACGAAAGUCUGACGGAGCGACGCCGCGUGGAUGAGGAAGGCCGAAAGGUUGUAAAGUCCUUUUGUCGAUGAAGAAUAAGUGGUGGAGGGAAUGCCAUCAUGAUGACGUUAGUCGGCGAAUAAGCCCCGGCUAAUUACGUGCCAGCAGCCGCGGUAACACGUAAGGGGCAAGCGUUGUUCGGAAUGAUUGGGCGUAAAGGGUACGUAGGCGGUUAUGUAAGCCCGGCGUGAGAUCCUGCAACUUAACUGUAGAGCUGCGCUGGGAACUGCGUAACUUGAGUCAUGGAAGGGAAGUUAGAAUUCCAGGUGUAGGGGUGAAAUCUGUAGAUAUCUGGAAGAAUACCGGUGGCGAAGGCGAACUUCUGGCCAAUGACUGACGCUGAGGUACGAAAGUGCGGGGAGCAAACAGGAUUAGAAACCCUGGUAGUCC